ACCUGGUUGAUCCUGCCAGUGGUCGUAUGCUUCGUUCAAGGGCUAAGCCAUGCAAGUCUCAGAGCAAUCGGUUUGACAGAGGGUCUGUGAAUGGCUCCUUACAUCAGCAGUUAUCCAAGUGAUAGUGUGUGGCUGGUGCCACUCCCCAGGGCACCCAUUGGGACAUCCUCGAAAACCUUGUGGCUAAUACCCGUACGCAACAGUCAACCGCAGCGCAGGCGCCGGGCCCCCUCGCGGGGUGCUCGGUGUCCUGGUGGUGGAUCAUGCCCAGCUGAGGCGAAGACCAGCGCCCACCCCCGUGGGCAGUGCGUUGUUCGGUUGACUCAGGCUGGAUUCCCUUGGGACGGCCAUUCUGGCAGAGUGGUGGCCUCGUGCCACGAUCGCUUGAUCACAGGAACUUCUGACCUAUCAGCCUGGAUUGUGAGGUAGUGGCUCACAAUGGCAGCGACGGGUAACGGAGAAUCAGGGUUCGAUUCCGGAGAGGGAGCCUGAGACACGGCUACCACUACCAAGGUGGGCAGCAGGCGCGCAAAUUGCCCAAUACAAGCCCCUUGUGUGAGGCAGCGACGAACCGCAGCAAGGCCGCUGGCUGUAUCUGCCAGUGGCCUUUGGAAUGGAUGCAACCCAAACACAGCGAUGAGUAUCAACUGGAGGGCAAGUCUGGUGCCAGCAGCCGCGGUAAUUCCAGCUCCAAGGGCGUACACUAUCAUUGCUGCUGUUAAAACACCUGUAGUCUGCCACUGGGUCCAGGUCUGCCGGGUGGCUGGCCGUCCCGGCCUGGCGUGCGCUGGUCCCCCGGGAUCGGUGUGCKUCGGGCCCGGGGCGGCUGGGUUCAACCCCCGGCGGUAUGUCCCUGGACCCGCAUUGGAAUGGUGAGACGCUCCGGCCCGAAGUCCCCUUCACUGGGGACCAGGGUGGACACGCCCCUCGCGCAGGCACGGGCGCCGGACCAGAACCCCCGGGGUCAACCCGGGGCACCAGGGAGACCUGGCCGGCCCCGCCACUGGAGCCCACCUGUCCCGGAUACCGUGGAAAACUCAGUGUGCCCCAAGCGUCCUGUCCGUACGGCUGGAUGCUCAUCCAUGGAAUGUCGCAGCAUCGACCGAGUGUGGCUAUAGACGUUGUGCUGGCCUUGAAGCCCACCCAGGGCAAUGUGGUGCAUGGAACUCCGGGGGAUCCCUGCGGGGUCCCGUCCGACGGGCCUCCGUGCCCCGAGGGCGGCCCCCAGGUCCCCCGCCGCCGUGUGCUGACCGGAGAUGAUGGGACCAACCAGGGUGAAAGAUACUGGAGCGCCAGAGGUGAAAUUCUUAGACCGCUCCAAGAUCCACUGGAGCGAAGGCGUUCUGCAAGCCUGUGUUCGUCGAUCAAGGAUGAGAGUCUGGGGAACGAAGAUGAUCAGACACCGUCGUAGUCCAGUACCGUAAACCGUGCCAGCCAGGCCUCAGCAGGGAAAGUCCCAAGACCCUGACUGGGGCCAGCCCCCCAUCAACGAGAAAUCCACAGCCUUGUGGGUUCAGGGGGGAGUACUGUCGCAAGGCUGAAACUUAAAGGAAUUGACGGAAUGGCACCACAAGGCGUGGAGUAUGCGGCUUAAUUUGACUCAACACGGGGAAUGUUACCAGGUCAGGACACAGCCAGGAUGGACAGAUUGAGAGCUCUCUCUUGAUCCUGUGGUCGGUGGUGCAUGGCCGCUCCUGAUUGGUGGAGUGAUUUGUCUGGUUGAUUCCGAUAACGAGUGAGAUCUCUGCCUCCCAGUGGCCUCCGGCUCGCAUUCGGUAGGGCGGACCCUGGAACCGGUCCCUGGGCGUGCCCCGGCCCCCGUGGUCGGUGGUCGCCCCUGGGCCCCAGGUCCCCCGAGAGCCCUGGAGUUCAGCUUCUCUGAGGUGCUGUGUACGCUGCCAAGUGCACGCAUGCUAGAGCCAACAGCAGGUCUGUGAUGCCCCCAGAUGUCCUGGGCCGCACGCGCACUACAUUGGAAUGGUGAAGGGGUCUGAGUCUGGAUUGUCAGAACCUGGCCGGAAAGUGGCUGGGAAACCCUGGGAGCCGAUGGCUCGUACUCGGGAUAGAUGAUUGCAACUGUGUGCCUUGAACGUGGAAUGCCUAGUAUGCGUUGGUCAUCAGCCAACACCGAUUGUGUCCCUGCCAUUUGUACACACCGCCCGUCGUUGCUACCGAUGGUGACAGGAUAGAGACAUCAGGAGGUGAGCCGGGGGUCCGCCCCCGGUCCCAGCCGAAAUUGGCCAAUGUCCUCUUGCUAGAGAAGCAAAAGUCGUAACAAGGUUGCUGUAGGUGAACCUGCAGAAAAGGAUCAA
RNAcentral lists this ribosomal RNA (2312 nucleotides) under Euglena stellata. RNAcentral describes it as "SSU rRNA". It matches the Rfam family "Eukaryotic small subunit ribosomal RNA". The record is from RNAcentral. Lineage: Eukaryota; Euglenozoa; Euglenophyceae; Euglenales; Euglenaceae.